AUGGCUGCGGUGUUUUCACGUGGUUUCCGUCAUCCGAGCUUGCUGCUCGUGGUGCUUGAUGACAACCCGUUGGCGUGGUGGCGGCGAUUUCACUGGUGCCUGUUCGAGAGCUCCCAAUGCUUAGGUUCCAUUGGUCAAGAUUCGCAUGAUUUCUCUUCCCCUUCCCCGUACGUCGAUCCAAGAAGACAGCAGUUCAUAUGCCACCAUUCGAGUUUUUUAGUGGGUUUGGGGAUCUGGAUUAGGGCUCCUUCUUUCUAUAUGUUUCCUACCAGCUUGUUCCAUGCAGGGUUUGUUGUUCGGGUUGAGCUCACGCUCCUCAGAUUUAACGAUGAACUCCGUGGACACCACUUGCUGAGUCCGGUGUUGCUUACUCCAAAAUAUACGGCUCAGCAGCAGACCUCCGUUUUGCGCAGUCUUUGUAGAGUCCACCGAAUGGGGAUUACCGGUUUGUCAAGCGGGCUGCACGCUGAAGGAGGCCCAAGGUUGCAUUCGUCGCGGCAUUUCCGCAGCUCCCUGUCGAUGUGCACCUUAUUUGCUGUGUGGUUUCAUUAUGAAGUUUGUAGCCUUAGUGCAGGUUUCCAUUCUUUAGAAACGGAUGGUUUUAUGCUCUUUCUUUAUCUAUUUGGCAAUGUACUGGGAUUUAUUCCCGUGAACUCUGUCGGUUUAUAUUAAUGGAUGUUUA
This 682-nucleotide long non-coding RNA is filed under the name Oryza sativa Indica Group (long-grained rice). RNAcentral describes it as "lncRNA OsZS97_02G024450". The record is from RNAcentral. Lineage: Eukaryota; Viridiplantae; Streptophyta; Magnoliopsida; Poales; Poaceae.